ACAUAUUAUAUUGCCAAUGGUUUUGCUGGAUGUGAAAAAGCCAUACCAGCAAAAUUGAAGUACUACUCAAUUUCCAAUUCAUUUUCAUGCCCCUCUCCAUAUGCUUGUUCUAAAGUAGAAGGUGCCAUGGCUGAAAUCCAGAAUCAACAUCAAGCUCUCACCUUUGAUGUCAAGCUUGGUUCGUUGCAGAAAAUUAGCCAUAAAAAUGGUUCCAGAAUUGUUGUGGACGAGGAAAUAGGUAUGUACACUAGUCCGGGAAGUGGGGCUUACCUGUUUAAGCCUGACGGUGAUGCUCAGCCUAUUGUUGAGGCAGGUGGGAACAUGGUGAUCUCUGGGGGCCCACUAAUGCAGGAAGUGUUUGUUUAUCCUAAAACAUCAUGGGAUCAAACACCCAUCUCCCAUAGUACUAGAAUUUAUAAUGGAGAUAAUACUAUACAAGAGUUUCUCAUUGAGAAAGAAUAUCAUGUUGAGCUUCUUGGCAAGGAAUUUGAUGACAGGGAAUUAAUAGUUAGAUACAAGACAGAUAUUGAUAAUAAAAAGAUCUUCUAUUCUGAUUUAAAUGGCUUUCAGAUGAGCAGGACGGAGAGAAACUUACAGUAAGAUCCCACUGCAGGGGAAUUACUAUCCUAUGCCCUCUCUAGCUUUCUUGCAAGGAUCCAAUGGCCAGAGGUUUUCUGUCCAUUCUAGACAGUCGUUGGGUGUGGCAAGCCUUAAAGAUGGAUGGUUGGAGAUUAUGCUUGACCGCCGUUUGGUAAGGGAUGAUGGACGAGGUCUUGGACAAGGGGUGAUGGAUAACCGUCCGAUGAAUGUGAUCUUCCACAUCCUUGUUGAGUCCAACAUUUCUUCCACUUCAGAUCCUGUUUCCAAUCCUCUUCCUCUGAUCCCCUCUCUUCUUUCACAUUGUGUUGGAGCUCAUUUGAACUAUCCUUUACAAGCAUUUGUUGCAAAGAACCCUCAGGAGUUAUCUGUGCAACCACCCCCAAGAUCCUUCUCUCCUUUGUCUGCUCCAUUACCAUGUGACUUGCACAUAGUGAAUUUUAAAGUUCCUCGGCCGUUAAAAUAUUCACAGCAGCUGAUAGAAGAUU
Molecule: unclassified non-coding RNA, 1085 nt
Filed under: Hevea brasiliensis (rubber tree)
Lineage: Eukaryota; Viridiplantae; Streptophyta; Magnoliopsida; Malpighiales; Euphorbiaceae
Source: RNAcentral